AACGCGAAGAACCUUACCAGGUCUUGACAUCCCGAUGCAAACUCUAGAGAUAGAGUCCUUCUUCGGAACAUUGGAGACAGGUGGUGCAUGGUUGUCGUCAGCUCGUGUCGUGAGAUGUUGGGUUAAGUCCCGCAACGAGCGCAACCCUUGAUCUUAGUUGCCAGCAGGUUAAGCUGGGCACUCUAAGGUGACUGCCGGUGACAAACCGGAGGAAGGUGGGGAUGACGUCAAAUCAUCAUGCCCCUUAUGACCUGGGCUACACACGUACUACAAUGGCUGGUACAACGGGAAGCGAAGCCGCGAGGUGGAGCGUACCUAUAAAGCCAGUCUCAGUUCGGAUUGUAGGCUGCAACUCGCCUACAUGAAGUCGGAAUUGCUAGUAAUCGCGGAUCAGCAUGCCGCGGUGAAUACGUUCCCGGGCCUUGUACACACCGUAUCUC
RNAcentral lists this ribosomal RNA (440 nucleotides) under uncultured bacterium. Its description in RNAcentral is "bacterial SSU rRNA". It matches the Rfam family "Bacterial small subunit ribosomal RNA", at positions 958 to 1398 of the family's 1533-position model. The record is from RNAcentral.